GACGAACGCUGGCGGCGUGCUUAACACAUGCAAGUCGAACGAAGAGCGAUGGAAGCUUGCUUCUAUCAAUCUUAGUGGCGAACGGGUGAGUAACGCGUAAUCAACCUGCCCUUCAGAGGGGGACAACAGUUGGAAACGACUGCUAAUACCGCAUACGAUCUAACCUCGGCAUCGAGGAUAGAUGGAAGGUGGCCUCUACAUGUAAGCUAUCACUGAAGGAGGGGAUUGCGUCUGAUUAGCUAGUUGGAGGGGUAACGGCCCACCAAGGCGAUGAUCAGUAGCCGGUCUGAGAGGAUGAACGGCCACAUUGGGACUGAGACACGGCCCAGACUCCUACGGGAGGCAGCAGUGGGGAAUCUUCCGCAAUGGACGAAAGUCUGACGGAGCAACGCCGCGUGAGUGAUGACGGCCUUCGGGUUGUAAAGCUCUGUUAAUCGGGACGAAAGGCCUUCUUGCGAAUAGUGAGAAGGAUUGACGGUACCGGAAUAGAAAGCCACGGCUAACUACGUG
This 510-nucleotide ribosomal RNA is filed under the name uncultured bacterium. Its description in RNAcentral is "partial 16S ribosomal RNA". It matches the Rfam family "Bacterial small subunit ribosomal RNA", at positions 28 to 507 of the family's 1533-position model. The record is from RNAcentral.